ACGGGAGGCAGCAGUGGGGAAUAUUGGGCAAUGGGGGAAACCCUGACCCAGCAACGCCGCGUGAGGGAUGAAGGUCUUCGGAUUGUAAACCUCUGUCCUAGGGGACGAAGAAAGUGACGGUACCCUGGGAGGAAGCUCCGGCUAACUACGUGCCAGCAGCCGCGGUAAUACGUAGGGAGCAAGCGUUGUCCGGAAUUACUGGGCGUAAAGGGUGCGUAGGCGGUUUUUUAAGUCAGAUGUGAAAUACCCGGGCUUAACCCGGGGGGUGCAUUUGAUACUGGGAGACUUGAGUGCAGGAGAGGAAAGUGGAAUUCCUAGUGUAGCGGUGGAAUGCGUAGAUAUUAGGAGGAACACCAGUGGCGAAGGCGGCUUUCUGGACUGUAACUGACGCUGAGGCACGAAAGCGUGGGGAGCAAACAGGAUUAGAUACCCUGGUA
RNAcentral lists this ribosomal RNA (437 nucleotides) under uncultured bacterium. RNAcentral describes it as "partial 16S ribosomal RNA". It matches the Rfam family "Bacterial small subunit ribosomal RNA", at positions 341 to 792 of the family's 1533-position model. RNAcentral also lists the same sequence under 1 other name. The record is from RNAcentral.